GGCUCUACCUGAAGCUGUUCUUGCUCUAAGAUCUCUGCUGGAACUUGUACACAUUUCUUCAGUUGAGACACAUGGAAAACAUCGUGUAUGGCCGACAGCUGUUCUGGGAGUUGGAUCCUGUAAGCGACGGGUCCACAUAUCUCCACAAUCUCAUAAGGGCCAAUGUAACGGGGAGCCAACUUGCCUUUUACUCCAAACCAUUGUACUCCUUUGGUCGGGGAGACUCGAAGAUACACAUGAUCACCA
RNAcentral lists this long non-coding RNA (246 nucleotides) under Setaria italica (foxtail millet). RNAcentral's name for it is "long non-coding RNA (SITA_LNC002370)". The record is from RNAcentral. Lineage: Eukaryota; Viridiplantae; Streptophyta; Magnoliopsida; Poales; Poaceae.